GACGAACGCUGGCGGCGUGCUUAACACAUGCAAGUGGAGCGACGAACCGGGGCUUGCCCCGGGGCAGAGCCGCGAACGGGUGAGUAACACGUGGGUUACCCACCCCAAUGACCGGGACAACCCGAGGAAACUCGAGCUAAUACCGGAUGUGGUCUUCGGACGAAAGGAAGCUUCGGCCUCCGCAUUGGGAUGGGCCCGCGGCGCAUUAGCUUGUUGGUGGGGUAACGGCCUACCAAGGCGA
This 241-nucleotide ribosomal RNA is filed under the name uncultured Actinomycetes bacterium. Its description in RNAcentral is "uncultured actinobacterium partial 16S ribosomal RNA". It matches the Rfam family "Bacterial small subunit ribosomal RNA", at positions 28 to 276 of the family's 1533-position model. The record is from RNAcentral. Lineage: Bacteria; Bacillati; Actinomycetota; Actinomycetes.